UUAUGAGAGUUUGAUCCUGGCUCAGGACGAACGCUGGCGGCGUGCCUAAUACAUGCAAGUCGAACGCUUCUUUUUCCACCGGAGCUUGCUCCACCGGAAAAAGAGGAGUGGCGAACGGGUGAGUAACACGUGGGUAACCUGCCCAUCAGAAGGGGAUAACACUUGGAAACAGGUGCUAAUACCGUAUAACAAUCGAAACCGCAUGGUUUUGAUUUGAAAGGCGCUUUCGGGUGUCGCUGAUGGAUGGACCCGCGGUGCAUUAGCUAGUUGGUGAGGUAACGGCUCACCAAGGCCACGAUGCAUAGCCGACCUGAGAGGGUGAUCGGCCACAUUGGGACUGAGACACGGCCCAAACUCCUACGGGAGGCAGCAGUAGGGAAUCUUCGGCAAUGGACGAAAGUCUGACCGAGCAACGCCGCGUGAGUGAAGAAGGUUUUCGGAUCGUAAAACUCUGUUGUUAGAGAAGAACAAGGAUGAGAGUAACUGUUCAUCCCUUGACGGUAUCUAACCAGAAAGCCACGGCUAACUACGUGCCAGCAGCCGCGGUAAUACGUAGGUGGCAAGCGUUGUCCGGAUUUAUUGGGCGUAAAGCGAGCGCAGGCGGAUCGCUAGAAGAAGGAUCAAAACCCAACCGUAAGGUUGAUAAGGUUAAGUGAAUAAGGGCGCAUGAGUGCAGAAGAGGAGAGUGGAAUUCCAUGUGUAGCGGUGAAAUGCGUAGAUAUAUGGAGGAACACCAGUGGCGAAGGCGGCUCUCUGGUCUGUAACUGACGCUGAGGCUCGAAAGCGUGGGGAGCAAACAGGAUUAGAUACCCUGGUAGUCCACGCCGUAAACGAUGAGUGCUAAGUGUUGGAGGGUUUCCGCCCUUCAGUGCUGCAGCUAACGCAUUAAGCACUCCGCCUGGGGAGUACGACCGCAAGGUUGAAACUCAAAGGAAUUGACGGGGGCCCGCACAAGCGGUGGAGCAUGUGGUUUAAUUCGAAGCAACGCGAAGAACCUUACCAGGUCUUGACAUCCUUUGACCACCGAAAUGUGGAAGACACCUAGGAGGAUCCUGAGUACGGGUGGUGCAUGGUUGUCGUCAGCUCGUGUCGUGAGAUGUUGGGUUAAGUCCCGCAACGAGCGCAACCCUUAUUGUUAGUUGCCAUCAUUCAGUUGGGCACUCUAGCAAGACUGCCGGUGACAAACCGGAGGAAGGUGGGGAUGACGUCAAAUCAUCAUGCCCCUUAUGACCUGGGCUACACACGUGCUACAAUGGGAAGUACAACGAGUUGCGAAGUCGCGAGGCUAAGCUAAUCUCUUAAAGCUUCUCUCAGUUCGGAUUGCAGGCUGCAACUCGCCUGCAUGAAGCCGGAAUCGCUAGUAAUCGCGGAUCAGCACGCCGCGGUGAAUACGUUCCCGGGCCUUGUACACACCGCCCGUCACACCACGAGAGUUUGUAACACCCGAAGUCGGUGAGGUAACCUUUUUGGAGCCAGCCGCCUAAGGUGGGAUAGAUGAUUGGGGUGAAGUCGUAACAAGGUAGCCGUAUCGGAAGGUGCGGCUGGAUCACCUCCUUU
This 1557-nucleotide ribosomal RNA is filed under the name Enterococcus faecium. RNAcentral's name for it is "bacterial SSU rRNA". It matches the Rfam family "Bacterial small subunit ribosomal RNA". Lineage: Bacteria; Bacillati; Bacillota; Bacilli; Lactobacillales; Enterococcaceae. The record is from RNAcentral.